GCUUGUCUCAAAGAUUAAGCCAUGCAUGUAUAAGUUCAUGCCUUGAUAAGGUGAAACCGCGAAUGGCUCAUUAAAACAGUCAUGAUCUAUUUGAUGUUUAAGUUUUCUUAACUUUACAAGGAUAACUGUGGUAAUUCUAGAGCUAAUACUUGCAAAAAAGCCGUGACUCUUAGUUGGGAAGCGGUGCGUUUAUUAGACCAAGACCAAUGAUCUUCGGAUCUGCAAUUAUGGUGACUCUGGAUAACUAAUGGCGUAAAAACCAUGAAGCUGACCCUAUGUCCCGAGGUGGCAACAUCUCACAGCGGCGAGGGCAAAUCAUUCGAGUGUCUGCUCUAUCAACUGUCGAUGGUAGGUUAUAUGCCUACCAUGGUUGUAACGGGUAACGGGGAGUUAGGGCUCGACUCCGGAGAGCAGGCCUGAGAAACGGCCAGCACAUCUAAGGAAGGCAGCAGG
This 453-nucleotide ribosomal RNA is filed under the name Trisetacus ehmanni. RNAcentral's name for it is "partial small subunit ribosomal RNA". It matches the Rfam family "Eukaryotic small subunit ribosomal RNA", at positions 30 to 432 of the family's 1831-position model. The record is from RNAcentral. Lineage: Eukaryota; Metazoa; Arthropoda; Arachnida; Trombidiformes; Phytoptidae.